GACGAACGCUGGCGGCGUGCUUAACACAUGCAAGUCGAACGGAAAGGCCCUGCUUUUGUGGGGUGCUCGAGUGGCGAACGGGUGAGUAACACGUGAGUAACCUGCCCUUGACUUUGUGAUAACUUCAGGAAACUGGGGCUAAUACCGGAUAGGAGCUCCUGCUGCAUGGUGGGGGUUGGAAAGUUUCGGCGGUUGGGGAUGGACUCGCGGCUUAUCAGCUUGUUGGUGGGGUAGUGGCUUACCAAGGCUUUGACGGGUAGCCGGCCUGAGAGGGUGACCGGCCACAUUGGGACUGAGAUACGGCCCAGACUCCUACGGGAGGCAGCAAUGGGGAAUAUUGCACAAUGGGCGGAAGCCUGAUGCAGCAACGCCGCGUGCGGGAUGACGGCCUUCGGGUUGUAAACCGCUUUCGCCUGUGACGAAGCGUGAGUGACGGUAAUGGGUAAAGAAGCACCGGCUAACUACGUG
RNAcentral lists this ribosomal RNA (468 nucleotides) under uncultured bacterium. RNAcentral's name for it is "partial 16S ribosomal RNA". It matches the Rfam family "Bacterial small subunit ribosomal RNA", at positions 28 to 507 of the family's 1533-position model. The record is from RNAcentral.